GACGAACGCUGGCGGCGUGCUUAACACAUGCAAGUCGUACGGUAAGGCCCUUUCGGGGGUACACGAGUGGCGAACGGGUGAGUAACACGUGAGUAACCUGCCCACAACUUUGGGAUAACGCUAGGAAACUGGUGCUAAUACUGGAUAUGUGCUCCUGCUGCAUGGUGGGGGUUGGAAAGCUCCGGCGGUUGUGGAUGGACUCGCGGCCUAUCAGCUUGUUGGUGGGGUAGUGGCCUACCAAGGCGGCGACGGGUAGCCGGCCUGAGAGGGUGACCGGCCACAUUGGGACUGAGAGACGGCCCAGACUCCUACGGGAGGCAGCAGUGGGGAAUAUUGCACAAUGGGCGCAAGCCUGAUGCAGCAACGCCGCGUGCGGGAUGACGGCCUUCGGGUUGUAAACCGCUUUCAGCAGGGGCGAAGCUUUUUGUGACGGUACCUGCAGAAGAAGCACCGGCUAACUACGUG
RNAcentral lists this ribosomal RNA (465 nucleotides) under uncultured bacterium. RNAcentral describes it as "partial 16S ribosomal RNA". It matches the Rfam family "Bacterial small subunit ribosomal RNA", at positions 28 to 507 of the family's 1533-position model. The record is from RNAcentral.